UGGGGAAUAUUGCACAAUGGGCGCAAGCCUGAUGCAGCCAUGCCGCGUGUGUGAAGAAGGCCUUCGGGUUGUAAAGCACUUUCAGCGGGGAGGAAGGCGUUAAGGUUAAUAACCUUGGCGAUUGACGUUACCCGCAGAAGAAGCACCGGCUAACUCCGUGCCAGCAGCCGCGGUAAUACGGAGGGUGCAAGCGUUAAUCGGAAUUACUGGGCGUAAAGCGCACGCAGGCGGGCUGUCAAGUCGGAUGUGAAAUCCCCGGGCUCAACCUGGGAACUGCAUUCGAAACUGGCAGGCUAGAGUAUUGUAGAGGGGGGUAGAAUUCCAGGUGUAGCGGUGAAAUGCGUAGAGAUCUGGAGGAAUACCGGUGGCGAAGGCGGCCCCCUGGACAAAGACUGACGCUCAGGUGCGAAAGCGUGGGGAGCAAACAGG
This 429-nucleotide ribosomal RNA is filed under the name Chloroflexota bacterium. RNAcentral describes it as "Chloroflexi bacterium partial 16S ribosomal RNA". It matches the Rfam family "Bacterial small subunit ribosomal RNA", at positions 355 to 776 of the family's 1533-position model. Lineage: Bacteria; Bacillati; Chloroflexota. The record is from RNAcentral.